GUCUAUGGCCACACCACCCUGAGCACUUCCAAUUUCAUCUGACCUUUUAAGCUAAGCAGGGUGGGGCCUGGUUAGUACUUGAAUGGAAGACCACCUGGGAAUAUCAAGUUCUGUAAACU
Cricetulus griseus (Chinese hamster) is the source of this 119-nucleotide ribosomal RNA. The record is from Ensembl. NCBI's taxonomy places the organism in Eukaryota, Metazoa, Chordata, Mammalia, Rodentia, Cricetidae.